GAUGAACGCUGGCGGCGUGCCUAAUACAUGCAAGUCGAGCGAACAGACGAGGAGCUUGCUCCUCUGACGUUAGCGGCGGACGGGUGAGUAACACGUGGAUAACCUACCUAUAAGACUGGGAUAACUUCUGGAAACCGGAGCUAAUACCGGAUAAUAUAUUGAACCGCAUGGUUCAAUAUUGAAAGACGGUUUUGCUGUCACUUAUAGAUGGAUCCGCGCCGCAUUAGCUAGUUGGUAAGGUAACGGCUUACCAAGGCAACGAUGCGUAGCCGACCUGAGAGGGGGAUCGGCCACACUGGAACUGGGACACGGUCCAGACUCCUACGGGAGGCAGCAGUAGGGAAUCUUCCGCAAUGGGCGAAAGCCUGACGGAGCAACGCCGCGUGAAUGAUGAAGGUCUUCGGAUCGUAAAACUCUGUUAUUAGGGAAGAACAAAUGUGUAAGUAACUAUGCACGUCUUGACGGUACCUAAUCAGAAAGCCACGGCUAACUACGUG
This 497-nucleotide ribosomal RNA is filed under the name uncultured bacterium. Its description in RNAcentral is "partial 16S ribosomal RNA". It matches the Rfam family "Bacterial small subunit ribosomal RNA", at positions 28 to 507 of the family's 1533-position model. The record is from RNAcentral.